AGUACCGAUCCAUCUUCUUCGCACUCAGGCUCAGUUUUAGGUCUCAAAAGAGCCGCGCGCAACGCGCACUUCCGGUUUCCUGCCGCUUAGCAAUGGGCCACUUUUGCUCGAAUGUGGUAUCUCUUGGAUGGCAAAAUGCAGCCCCCUGGCAAACUUGCGGCCAUAGCAUCCAAUAAACUUCAGGGGUUACAUAAACCAGUGUACCAUCAGCUGAGUGAUUGUGGAGACCAUGUUGUCAUAAUAAACACAAGACAUAUUGCAUUUUCUGGAAACAAAUGGGAACAAAAAGUGUACUCCUCACAUACUGGCUACCCGGGUGGCUUCAGACAGGUAACAGCUGCACAGCUCCACCUGAAAGACCCAGUGGCGAUUGUGAAGUUAGCUACUUAUGGCAUGCUGCCCAAAAACCUGCACAGGAGAACACUCAAGAAGGCCAGGCCUCAGUGGGAAAGUGCAGUAGAACAUUCUAUUUUACAGAAGUGUCUUGUGUAGCCUGGUACUGGUUUAAAUGCUAUAAAUGUUAAUAAAAUGCUUAUUUGGUUAUGU
This 546-nucleotide long non-coding RNA is filed under the name Rattus norvegicus (Norway rat). RNAcentral's name for it is "long non-coding RNA NONRATT026934". The record is from RNAcentral. Lineage: Eukaryota; Metazoa; Chordata; Mammalia; Rodentia; Muridae.